Molecule: ribosomal RNA, 569 nt
Filed under: Amphiprion akallopisos (skunk clownfish)
Lineage: Eukaryota; Metazoa; Chordata; Actinopteri; Pomacentridae
Description: partial 16S ribosomal RNA
Rfam family: Bacterial large subunit ribosomal RNA
Source: RNAcentral
UAGAGGUCCGCCUGCCAGUGACUAUAUGUUUAACGGCCGCGGUACUUUGACCGUGCGAAGGUAGCGCAAUCACUUGUCUUUUAAAUGAAGACCUGUAUGAAUGGCACGACGAGGGCUUAACUGUCUCCUUUUUCCAGUCAAUGAAAUUGAUCUUCCCGUGAAGAAGCGGGAAUAAUACCAUAAGACGAGAAGACCCUGUGGAGCUUUAGACACUAAAUCAGCCCUUGUCCAAAACCCCAAUUAAAGGAGUGAACACUAGAGUGAGACCUGAUCUAAUGUCUUCGGUUGGGGCGACCUUGGGGAAAGAAAAAUCCCCCAUGCGGAACGGAAAUACUAUGUUUCCAAAACUAAGAAAGACCACUCAAAGUAUCAAAAAUUUUGACCCACUAUAUGAUCCGGCUUAAACACCGAUCAACGGACCGAGUUACCCCAGGGAUAACAGCGCAAUCCUUUUUUAGAGCCCAUAUCGACAAAAGGGUUUACGACCUCGAUGUUGGAUCAGGACAUCCUAAUGGUGCAGCCGCUAUUAAGGGUUCGUUUGUUCAACGAUUAAAGUCCUACGUGAUCUG